UUCUACUAUUCCUGAUGAGGAGGACCUUGUACUUUGAAUGGCCAAAAUGAGCCACAUGAAAUAAAUCAUGCUGAUGAGGAAGAAAAAAAAAAAAGGAAAUAGAAGGGAUGAAUACAUAUAAGAACCCUUGGUCUUGGU
This 138-nucleotide non-coding RNA is filed under the name Fibrocapsa japonica. Lineage: Eukaryota; Raphidophyceae; Chattonellales; Chattonellaceae. The record is from RNAcentral.